CCCAACAAGAUUUUUUAAAAAAGACUUUAUUUAUUAGAGAGAGAACAAGCUGGGAAAAGGGCAGAGGGAGAAGGAGAAGCAGACUCCCCGCUGAGCAGGGAGCUUGACUUGGGGCUGGGGCUCCAUCCCAGAAUCCUGGGAUCAUCACCUGAGCUGAAGGCACAUGCUUAACCAACUGAGUCACCCAGGUGCCUCCCAAAGAGAUAGUUUUGACACUUCAAACUACUCAUACGCUACCUACCAAAGGAGACAGACCUAUAGACAGAAAUUGCUACCUAAUGUGAGAACUUUUAGAUUUAAAAACAUGUUCAAAGAACUUAGUACCUUAUACCCCCUUAAUAACAAAGGGGUUUCAUCUAUUUAUAUAACUUGGUGGCUAAUAUGUAACAAUGUAUCUCCUCAUCUAGGCUACACCCCUGCCUUGGAUUUCCUCUUCAGGACUCCUGUUUGCUCCCAAGAGAUUGGGAAGAUACUAUGUAGAUACCCACAAGAGUCCCACUGGCUAGAAAACGAGGUGCAGUAAGGAAGCACCCGAGAAGACCAUCAAUCUGUCAUGUAAAAGGGGAGACGUGGCGGGGGAGAAAGGAGGUAAUUGGAAUUGAGCUUCUCUUGGGACUCUUUCUCCAGCGGGAAGUGUAGCUGGAGAAAUACAGAGCAGAGCCAUCCCAAAGGUAAGGUAAAUUGGGGCUUGUGCCCUGACCUUGGGGAGCAGUGUGGUGAGAAAUGAAAAUCUGCUCUGGCCAUAACAUUUCAGAUAAGCCUCUUUGCCAACUCCAGGUCCGAUCCUGGGUUGGGAUAAAAUUUCCCUCU
RNAcentral lists this long non-coding RNA (810 nucleotides) under Mustela putorius furo (domestic ferret). RNAcentral describes it as "lncRNA (ENSMPUG00000030835.1)". The record is from RNAcentral. Lineage: Eukaryota; Metazoa; Chordata; Mammalia; Carnivora; Mustelidae.